UCCGGUUCGUCACCGACAGUCUCACAUGAGUCCCCAACUAAAUGCUGGCAACAUGCGACGGGGGUUGCGCUCGUUGCGGGACUUAACCCAACAUCUCACGACACGAGCUGACGACAGCCAUGCAGCACCUGUGUUCCCGUUCCCUUUCGGGCACAGCCCCGUUUCCGGAGCCUCCAGGACAUGUCAAGGGUAGGUAAGGUUUUUCGCGUUGCAUCGAAUUAAUCCACAUAAUCCACCGCUUGUGCGGGUCCCCGUCAAUUCCUUUGAGUUUUAACCUUGCGGCCGUACUCCCCAGGCGGAGAACUUAUCGCGUUAGCUUCGAUACUAAUAGGCCAGGCCUACCAACAUCUAGUUCUCAUCGUUUACAGCGUGGACUAC
This 378-nucleotide unclassified non-coding RNA is filed under the name uncultured Gammaproteobacteria bacterium. RNAcentral describes it as "contains 16S-23S intergenic spacer region". Lineage: Bacteria; Pseudomonadati; Pseudomonadota; Gammaproteobacteria. The record is from RNAcentral.